GAUGAACGCUGGCGGCGUGCCUAAUACAUGCAAGUCGAACGAAACUUCUUUAUCACCGAGUGCUUGCACUCACCGAUAAAGAGUUGAGUGGCGAACGGGUGAGUAACACGUGGGCAGCCUGCCCAAAAGAGGGGGAUAACACUUGGAAACAGGUGCUAAUACCGCAUAACCAUAGUUACCGCAUGGUAACUAUGUAAAAGGUGGCUAUACUACCGCUUUUGGAUGGGCCCGCGGCGCAUUAGCUAGUUGGUAGGGUAGAGGCUUACCAAGGCAAUGAUGCGUAGCCGAAUUGAGAGGUUGAUCGGCCACAUUGGGACUGAGACACGGCCCAAACUCCUACGGGAGGCAGCAGUAGGGAAUCUUCCACAAUGGGCGAAAGCCUGAUGGAGCAACGCCGCGUGGGUGAAGAAGGUCUUCGGAUCGUAAAACCCUGUUGUUAGAGAAGAAAGUGCGUGAGAGUAACUGUUCACGUUUCGACGGUAUCUAACCAGAAAGCCACGGCUAACUACGUG
Molecule: ribosomal RNA, 512 nt
Filed under: uncultured bacterium
Lineage: Bacteria
Description: partial 16S ribosomal RNA
Rfam family: Bacterial small subunit ribosomal RNA
Source: RNAcentral